Molecule: non-coding RNA, 1150 nt
Organism: Chrysemys picta bellii (western painted turtle)
Lineage: Eukaryota; Metazoa; Chordata; Testudines; Emydidae
Source: RefSeq, a predicted model, not a curated record
AGUUACAUUACAGAUAGGUCCUACAGACUCUGAGCAUGCAAGCCCUGAGCAUGUCUGCCUCAUUAUCAGAGUGAGAUCUUCAGAAUGGGAGAGACCCUCUGUAGUGUUCAGCUCAGUACUUCCAGGAGCUGAACAGGAACAAAGGCCCAGUCUUCAGUAUAUUGAGCACCUGUGACGUUGCACGCUACAUGAUUUUAUAAAAUGCACAAAGAAGAAUAACAGCAUCCAUAUGUCUUCUCCAUGAGGAUCCUGUAACAUGCUAAGACACUACCUGUGAAAUACCUCCAGCAUUUGAAAAAUGCUUAGCUACUUGUGGUGGGGCAGUGCCCGACCCCCCUGACGAAAAGAGCUGAACCAGGCCUGAGAGGCUGUGCAGACCAGCAGCCAAUUAGCCAAGGCCGGGGAGAGCCAAUCCGGGCCGGGCUAGGUCCUAUAUAAAGGCUGCCUAGCAGAGGAGAAGGGAGUCUCUCCCUGACUAGCAAGGGAGAAGGACUGACUCCUGAAGCAAGGAGAUAGCACCUUGGAUAGAGCAGUGCUGGGCAGGUUCAGGGGAGCAGAGAAGAGCUCCAGCCCAUUAUCUGCCAGGUUGCAGCCCUGACUAGAAGGGCUGAGAAGGUGCAAGAGGCCAAAGAGGAAGUGGCCCAGGGAACAUAGUCUAACAAGGGGAGAGAAGGAGGGCAGAGAGACUGCUGCUAGAGGGUCUCUGGGUCAGGACCCAGAGUAGCAGAUGGGCCUGGGUCCCCUCCUUUCCCUCCGCCCCUUGUACUUCACCUGCUUGUGGAGGAGUGGCUGAGAUGGACUGCAACCUGCCCCUGAGGUGCGGGGCUAGACUUUGGGGUUGUGGUUGGCCACCGAGGCAGGUGAUAGGCAAAAGACUGUUGUUAACACACACACAGCUCCCCCGGAAGGGGGUGAGACUGGAGUAGUGGGCACUGCCGGAGGGCAGUGUCCUGAAGAGGACGCCGCCGAGCAGGGAGCAACGCGGGUCCCAGGGCAGCAGAGCAGACAACGGACAAGGCACCACAUGUUGAGGGUGCGCCACAGCUGACCCAAGCAAAUUCUUAGAGCAACCAGCGGGAGGCGCCAGUGGUGGGCCGCCUAGAGGCUUCAGGGGGCCUGGGGUCCCCCGCUGCCAAACUGCCGCCGAAGA